CUUUUUCCUACCAUGUGUGC
RNAcentral lists this non-coding RNA (20 nucleotides) under Rattus norvegicus (Norway rat). Lineage: Eukaryota; Metazoa; Chordata; Mammalia; Rodentia; Muridae. The record is from RNAcentral.